Long non-coding RNA from Eublepharis macularius, 997 nucleotides. RefSeq lists it as uncharacterized. The transcript has 3 exons. Lineage: Eukaryota; Metazoa; Chordata; Lepidosauria; Squamata; Eublepharidae. The record is from RefSeq and is a predicted model, not a curated record.
AUGACGGGUCAGAGGAGCUUUUCUCGCACGAUCUGAUAACCAUUGAUCGUGAGCAGGUUAGAAGUUCCACCCCCUCCCCCAGAGGUGAGUAAGGCUGAAAAAAGCAUUUUUAUUGGGGGGGACACAGCAGGAUCUCACUACUGAGGAUAUUUGUCCCUUGUUUCAACUUUCCUCAGAUGGCGGUGUGGGGUUGGCACAGGCGGCACCAGAGAAUGACCUAGAUGUCACAGUGGAUGGCCUCGCUGACUGUGAGGCGGAGGAACCGUGUCCUGAUGCUCAGGAGGAACCGCAGAGUGACGGCGACUCAAGCUCAUUGCAGCAAGGUGGCGGAAAGGAUUCCACAUCAACAUCCAUGGCUGAGGCUUCCCCAGGGUCACGCCUUGAACGUAUAAAGAGCAGAAGACGGAGAAAUGCGGGAUUGUUUGCAGUCGCUGAUAAGAUGAUCAGUCAGUCAGGGGAGGAGCAUAAGGCCCAAAUUGCUGAAUGGCGCAUUGACAGGGAGGAAAGCGUAAGGUGGCAUGAUGAGGAAAAAAAAAUCAAAAUGAUUUUAUUGAGGCAACACGUCAGGAGAGCAUAUACUUUAGGCGGGCGUGGGAUGAUAACCUUCAGGUCAUGCAGUCUGCUGUCCUGACACUGCAAACUCUUGGUGAAAUUCUGGUCAAUCAACAGAGGGCGAAAUCUCCAAAGGCAAAGGCCUUGCAGGAUACUGCCACAGAGAACAUUGCACCGCGUUUGGGUGUGGCCAAACGUGCCUGUGUUGGCCGUGCCAGAGCUAGACUGACUCUCUAGUGUUUCAUUGACAUGUCAGUACAGCACGCUAUCUUUGGCCUUCUUUCAUAUGUGUUGCAUGCUCCAAUCAUUUGGUGGGUGAUCGUUUUGGGUUUGUUGUGGGAAACAAAUUUAUCUUAUUACUGAAAAGUUAACCGGAAAUUAAAAUUGAAAAUGCAUCACAGCACCUUGUUUUGACCAACAAUGAACACAAUAAACUUUAUUGUUA